CUAAAAGUCCUUUUGGAAAAAAUAAGUCAGAAAAACCUGACUUCUAGCUUUUGCAAAGGAUUUUGCCUUCAAAAGGAAAGCCAAACACCCUCUGCGUCUUCACUUCAGGCUUCAUCAUCUUCUUCGAACCGAUCACAAACACACGCUCUCUCUACUCUGCGUCUUCACUUCAGGCUUCAUCAUCUUCUUCGAACCGAACCGGGUUUCUAGCCCUACCCGUUGAACACCAUGGCCACCAUAGCUUCUUCCCUCUUUUCUCUGCCUUCCCUGCGUGCAACAAAUAAAACUCACAGAACAACAACUCUUCUUCCAUGCCCUAAUUUCCUUCAACCCAACUUGACCCUCGAAUUCUCCAGAUUGGGGAUUUCUUACACAAAUAGAAAGGGGUCAAAACAGGUUGUGAUUUCUUGCUUGGUUGAAGAUUAUUCGACAGCUCAAGGAUCAGAGUCAAACCCUGGAGCAACUAUUGACCUCAAACUCCCAGGAAGAAACUUGUUAGUGCAGUUUACCUGCAAUGCUUGCGGUGUAAGAUCACAAAAGCUCAUAAACAGACUAGCUUAUGAAAAAGGGAUGGUUUUUGUUCAGUGUACAGGAUGUGAACAGUAUCACAAACUUGUUGACAAUCUAAAUCUUGUGGUGGAGUACGACUUUCGGGAGGAAAUCAAUGCGAGUCCGGAUGCAGAUCAAGUUUGAUUCAUCGUUCUAAUCUGUUUUGUUAAUUUGUUCUUUAUCUGACAGUAAAUAUACAUUUAUAAGCCUUCUUUAAUCUAUAAGUUAUAACGUUUGUUCUCCAUCGAGUAUUUUAUAUAUCUUUAAAGAGUGUCAAUAGUGGUGAUGACCAUGAUAUUAAUCAGGUUUUGGGUUUUUUCUAACCCGAUCAAUAAACGGGUUGUGUUAGGGUUGAUCUGUUUAAUUAAACAUGUUGACCUAUCAACAUGUUUAAAGUUAAAAUAAUCUAUACUAUAUAUAUAAUGCAUAUUGCAAGGGCAAGAAUGGUCAUUUGCCACCUUUUCAACAAGUACAACACUUGAAGCUUUAUGUACAAUACUUCAAAGCAUAAAUUUAAAGCUAAAACCUUGAAAUCUCUUGCUGAUCAUUUGGGCUCCAACAUUUUGUUCUUUUGAAUUUUGAAAUUCGUUAAUAUGGCUCCAACCUUUUGUUCUUUUAAAUUUUGAAAUUCACAUCCUGCUCUCAUUUCUCUCUCUCUCUCUCUCUGCUCUGACUUCUCUUUCAUCUUGUUCAAGAAAAAACCCUAAAAUCACAAAAUAGUGUCAUAGUAGAAUGGAAAUUGGAUGCUAGAUCUGGAACAAAUAUGGGUUUGCAAAGAGAGAGCGAGCAAAUGUUAGAAAGAGGGAGAAAAUCGGUGGGUUCUGGCCGCUGGUGGAUGGCAUAUAGAGUGGCGGAAAUUGGAUGGCUUCUUUUGUAGUUGUUUAGAUCUGACGAGAAAAUAAUCGUUGUUGUUCCACAAAGGGUGUUUUUGCUGCGACAUAUGAGACGAGUACUGGGAUCCUCAAUCGAUAACAUCAUCAACAAUUCCUGCAUUUCUCUUCUGUCGGAGAUGCUGAAGGGUUUAUUGGUUUCAAAGUUUUUGCUUUCUGUUGCAGAUGUGUUGGAUCCAAUUAUUGCUCUGGUGUUCUCAUGGCAAAAGAUGGAAUUGAAUUGUGGCCUACUUUACUUGAUGAAGUUCAAGCACGAUUUGACACUGAUGUUGGCCAGGGAACGUUUUCCAUGGCUUCAUGGCGUGGAACACAAGUUGCUGUUAAAAAGCUUGGGGAUGAACUAUUUACCGAUGAGGACAAAGUGGAUGAACUUGAAUUACUUAAAAAGAUACGGCACCCGAAUGUGGUUCAGUUUCUCGGGGCUGUAACUCAAAGUAGUCCAAUGAUGAUUGUGAUAGAAUAUUUUACCAAAGGGUGAUCUUAAGGCAUAUUUGAAAAGAAAAGGAGCACUAAAGCCGUUAAUUGCGUUAAAAUUUGCAAUGGAUAUUGCCAGUGAACAGAAAUAUUUUGCUGGACGACUCUGGGCAUCUGAAAGUUGCAGACUUUGGAGUCAGCGAGUUACUGAAAGGAACAAAUGCAGCCAAACAUAAAAUGCUUAUGAACUAUCAAGAUACUACCUCAUUGACAGCAAGGCGAUAUGUUGCUUCAGAGGUGUUCAAAAAUGAAGACUACGACACCAAAGUGGAUGUUUUCUCGUUUGCUUUAAUUUUGCAAGAGCAGGUGGAUCAAGAUGGUAUUCGAAAGUGCAUGAGCGUGGGAACUUAACACAACUGGGCAAUGUAACUUCAUUUUGCUUCUAUAAGCUUCCAAUGAAAGACACUUGCAUUUUUCAGAUGCAAUGGAUUCUAAACCAGCACUAUGUGGUUUGGUAGACGAGCAACCCAAAGUGGUGGUCUUUAAUUCGAUACUGCGGAACUGGACAUGGUGACGUUAAUGGUCACUUUCAUCAAAACUCGCUGUGUUUGUGUUUGGUCGAUCUGCACACUUUUUUAUAGUUACAAUACCAAUCUAAACCCAGUGUUUUAAAAACCGGUAAAUACCGGCCGGUUAUACCAGUAUUACCGUUUCCAGGUGUAAAUCCGGUACGAAACACCGCGGUAAAUAAGUGAAACGGCAUAAGGUUUGUACCGGCGGUAAAAUCCGGUAUAUCGGUUUGAAACGUAAUACUGGUACCGGCCCAAGGUUAUUCUAGUUUGGGUUGUUACUUAUUUUUAUUAUAUAUGUUAUUUAUCUUGCGUAAUUUUAUAUAUUGUAAUUAUUCGUAACUAAAACUUCUUAUUGAAUAUUGUAUGAAACGAAAAUAGUUAUCCUCUAGUUGAUGAGGAUGGUGAUAACAGUGAAUUUCAUCUUUUAUGCGAUAA
Helianthus annuus (common sunflower) is the source of this 2860-nucleotide RNA transcript. RefSeq lists it as uncharacterized. The record is from RefSeq and is a predicted model, not a curated record. NCBI's taxonomy places the organism in Eukaryota, Viridiplantae, Streptophyta, Magnoliopsida, Asterales, Asteraceae. The transcript has 12 exons.